UAGCUAGUUGGUGGGGUAAGGGCCUACCAAGGCGACGAUCGGUAGCUGGUCUGAGAGGAUGGCCAGCCACACUGGGACUGAGACACGGCCCAGACUCUUACGGGAGGCAGCAGUGGGGAAUAUUGGACAAUGGGGGGAACCCUGAUCCAGCAAUGCCGCGUGUGUGAAGAAGGCCUGAGGGUUGUAAAGCACUUUCAGUGGGGAGGAGGAUUGAUUGGUUAAGAGCUGAUUGAUUGGACGUUACCCACAGAAGAAGCACCGGCUAACUCCGUGCCAGCAGCCGCGGUAAUACGGAGGGUGCGAGCGUUAAUCGGAAUUACUGGGCGUAAAGGGUGCGUAGGUGGUUGUAUAAGUUAGCUGUGAAAUCCCUGGGCUCAACCUGGGCAGGUCAGCUAAGACUGUAUGACUCGAGUAUAGGAGAGGGUAGUGGAAUUUCCGGUGUAGCGGUGAAAUGCGUAGAGAUCGGAAGGAACACCAGUGGCGAAGGCGGCUACCUGGCCUAAUACUGACACUGAGGCACGAAAGCGUGGGGAGCAAACAGGAUUAGAUACCCUGGUAGUCCACGCUGUAAACGAUGUCAACUAGUUGUUGGCCUUAUGAAUGAGGUUAGUGACGC
This 616-nucleotide ribosomal RNA is filed under the name uncultured Legionella sp. RNAcentral describes it as "bacterial SSU rRNA". It matches the Rfam family "Bacterial small subunit ribosomal RNA", at positions 242 to 849 of the family's 1533-position model. Lineage: Bacteria; Pseudomonadati; Pseudomonadota; Gammaproteobacteria; Legionellales; Legionellaceae. The record is from RNAcentral.